GUGCCAGCCGCCGCGGUAAUACGUAGGGUGCAAGCGUUAAUCGGAAUUACUGGGCGUAAAGCGUGCGCAGGCGGUUUGCUAAGACCGAUGUGAAAUCCCCGGGCUCAACCUGGGAACUGCAUUGGUGACUGGCAGGCUAGAGUAUGGCAGAGGGGGGUAGAAUUCCACGUGUAGCAGUGAAAUGCGUAGAGAUGUGGAGGAAUACCGAUGGCGAAGGCAGCCC
Molecule: ribosomal RNA, 223 nt
Filed under: Burkholderia sp.
Lineage: Bacteria; Pseudomonadati; Pseudomonadota; Betaproteobacteria; Burkholderiales; Burkholderiaceae
Description: partial 16S ribosomal RNA
Rfam family: Bacterial small subunit ribosomal RNA
Source: RNAcentral